GUCAGCUGUGCUGCUCUCGCUCUGUGGGACGGGGUUGGAAGCUGAAGAUGGGAAAUCACUUGUGUGUGAUCCUUUAUCUGCUUCAUCUCACAGCUACUGCUGCCCUCCUGGCUGUUUGUAGCAGCCAGAGAGCACCUAAUUCUUGUAUCCCAGACCUCAAACCUCAGCCCAGCAGCCUCCAAGGAAUCCUCCCUGCUUGGGGUGCUGUUUGUGGGACUGCUGGUGGCUCUGGAUCCCAAGGAGCGUUCCCAUCCCAUCACCACCGGCUGCCAGCUUCGGGAUCACGGCCACCCAGGGAGUUGGACAUCAUGGAGCUGGACACACACCAGGGAGCUGACUUGUGUCUGACACCGAGUUCAGUCUCCAAACAUAAAAGAAGAGAAAGUCAGGACAGAAAAGCAUUGGAGCUUUCUUCUUCCUCCACACCUGCUGUUCCUGGUCGUCAGGCACUUCCAAAGAGGAGAGUUCUCCAAGUUCCCAGUCAUUACCCUUUACAUAAGCAUAAUAUAGUGCUGCACUUCCUACAGGGAAGCUAUCUAUUGUAGCAAUCUGUAAAACAAAAGCUGGAUUGCUCCUUCUCCCAUUGCUCCCAGAAUCAAAAAGCUGCCUGCUGUUCCUCAAAUGGGAAGGCUGAAAGCCUUCAUCAGAGGGUAGUUCAUUUUUACACGACAUUUUUACACUCAAGCAAAACUGAAAGCAAGGCAUAAUUUGAAACAGCCACGCUCGCCGUUAGAGCAGAACCACACAAAUAAAAUGCCUGGGAUGAUGGAGUUGAAUAUGUUGCAGUCAGAAAAAUGACAGUUUGCAGGGAACAAGGAAAACGAGAUGGAUGAAUGGGAAUUAGUGAGGAGCAGACUUCCAAGGCAGACAAAUCAAAUUGAGAGUGUGGAUCAUUAGAUUCAAAGGAAGCAGGUAAGGAGUGCACUAAAUUGUAUCUUAAACAACAAACCAAGGGCCCCAGGCUCCAGGGAGAGCACAUGGAACAGGGCUUGGGAUAUGGGAAUGGCUCCCAGGUGUGUCCUGGCCUUUGGGCAUUGUGACCUCACCCAGGUCACCUUGUGUCCUUCACAUCAGUUCCUGUGCUGUGGGCCAUGGCAGGCACUGGACAUAGAGGAUGCUUUGGAGAUCUGCAGAUGUGCCCAGCUCCAGAUUAGACAGCUGAAGGCCUCCUGGAUGGCCUGUCUUGGCACCUGUCACCUUCCAGGGCUGUCACUGAUAUCCAUUGUAUGGAGCUGACUCUUUGCCUGUUUUUUUUUUCCCAGGAGGUGAAGAGAUAUACAAGGGUAGAAAUUACUGAGUUGUUGAAUUUUUAAAAAUUAACUGUGCACAAUUAUACCCAAGAAACACACUUCACAUACAGCAGCUCUUUGCAGAUGUGAGAAAAUGUGGCAUGGUUUGGACCUUCCUGGAAACAGCUGAGCUGGGGGAAUUUGUGUAUUUUAAAAAUAAAGCUCAUGUUUUUCUUGGACAAA
Haemorhous mexicanus (house finch) is the source of this 1472-nucleotide long non-coding RNA. RefSeq lists it as uncharacterized. The record is from RefSeq and is a predicted model, not a curated record. NCBI's taxonomy places the organism in Eukaryota, Metazoa, Chordata, Aves, Passeriformes, Fringillidae. The transcript is spliced from 3 exons.